Molecule: ribosomal RNA, 403 nt
Filed under: uncultured Eubacteriales bacterium
Lineage: Bacteria; Bacillati; Bacillota; Clostridia; Eubacteriales
Description: bacterial SSU rRNA
Rfam family: Bacterial small subunit ribosomal RNA
Source: RNAcentral
UGGGGAAUAUUGCACAAUGGGGGAAACCCUGAUGCAGCGACGCCGCGUGGGCGAGGAAGUACCUCGGUAUGUAAAGCCCUAUCAGCAGGGAAGAAACAGGACAGUACCUGACUAAGAAGCCCCGGCUAACUACGUGCCAGCAGCCGCGGUAAUACGUAGGGGGCAAGCGUUAUCCGGAUUCACUGGGCGUAAAGGGAGCGCAGGCGGCAUGGCAAGUCUGAUGUGAAAACCCGGGGCCCAACCCCGGGAGUGCAUUGGAAACUGCCAGGCUGGAGUGUCGGAGGGGUAAGCGGAAUUCCUAGUGUAGCGGUGAAAUGCGUAGAUAUUAGGAGGAACACCAGUGGCGAAGGCGGCUUACUGGACGACUACUGACGCUGAGGCUCGAAAGCGUGGGGAGCAAACA